AAAGGGCUUAGCUUAAUUAAAGCGACUGAUUUGCGUUCAGUAGAUGUAAUAUGGAGUUUUGCAGUCCUUA
This 70-nucleotide transfer RNA is filed under the name Cheracebus lucifer. RNAcentral describes it as "tRNA-Ala". It matches the Rfam family "tRNA". From Rfam's summary of the family: Transfer RNA (tRNA) molecules are approximately 80 nucleotides in length. Their secondary structure includes four short double-helical elements and three loops (D, anti-codon, and T loops). Further hydrogen bonds mediate the characteristic L-shaped molecular structure. tRNAs have two regions of fundamental functional importance: the anti-codon, which is responsible for specific mRNA codon recognition, and the 3' end, to which the tRNAs corresponding amino acid is attached (by aminoacyl-tRNA synthetases). tRNAs cope with the degeneracy of the genetic code in two manners: having more than one tRNA (with a specific anti-codon) for a particular amino acid; and 'wobble' base-pairing, i.e. permitting non-standard base-pairing at the 3rd anti-codon position. The record is from RNAcentral. Lineage: Eukaryota; Metazoa; Chordata; Mammalia; Primates; Pitheciidae.